Molecule: ribosomal RNA, 373 nt
Filed under: uncultured bacterium
Lineage: Bacteria
Description: bacterial SSU rRNA
Rfam family: Bacterial small subunit ribosomal RNA
Source: RNAcentral
AUUGAACGCUGGCGGCGUGCUUAACACAUGCAGGUCGUGCGGUAACAGGCGUAGCAAUACGUGCUGACGAGCGGCGAACGGGUGCGUAAUACAUGGGAAUCUGCCCUUUAGUGGGGAAUAACCCGGCGAAAGCCGGGCUAAUGCCGCAUAAAGAUCUUCGGAUGAAAGCGGGGGAUCGUAAGACCUCGCGCUGAUGGAUGAGCCCAUGUCGGAUUAGCUAGNGGUGAGGUAACGGCUCACCAAGGCGACGAUCCGUAGCUGGUCUGAGGAGGACGGCCAGCCACACUGGGACUGAGACACGGCCCAGACUCCUACGGGAGGCAGCGAGUGGGGAAUAUUGGACAAUGGGCGAAAGCCUGAUCCAGCGACGCCG